CGACUCGAGCGAAGCGAGAGAACGUUGCCGCAGGCAAUGGCCCGAAGGCGAGGCGCUUUAGCGCCGAGUAAUCCUUCCCCCACCACUU
Molecule: small RNA, 88 nt
Filed under: Klebsiella pneumoniae
Lineage: Bacteria; Pseudomonadati; Pseudomonadota; Gammaproteobacteria; Enterobacterales; Enterobacteriaceae
Description: partial RtT sRNA
Rfam family: RtT RNA
About the family: This family represents a bacterial cis-regulatory element known as RtT RNA. The exact function of RtT is unknown although it is thought that it may be involved in changing the cellular response in relation to amino acid starvation.
Source: RNAcentral